RNAcentral lists this ribosomal RNA (406 nucleotides) under uncultured bacterium. Its description in RNAcentral is "partial 16S ribosomal RNA". It matches the Rfam family "Bacterial small subunit ribosomal RNA", at positions 30 to 526 of the family's 1533-position model. The record is from RNAcentral.
AUUGAACGCUGGCGGCAGGCCUAACACAUGCAAGUCGAACGAGCGGCGGACGGGUGAGUAAUGUCUGGGAAACUGCCUGAUGGAGGGGGAUAACUACUGGAAACGGUAGCUAAUACCGCAUACCAUCAGAUGUUCCCAGAUGGGAUUAGCUAGUAGGUGGGGUAAUGGCUCACCUAGGCGACGAUCCCGAGCUGGUCUGAGAGGAUGACCAGCCACACUGGAACGGAGACACGGUCCAGACUCCUACGGGAGGCAGCAGUGGGGAAUAUUGCACAAUGGGCGCAAGCCUGAUGCAGCCAUGCAGCGUGUGUGAAGAAGGCCUUCGGGUUGUAAAGCACUUUCAGCGGGGAGGCGUUACCCGCAGAAGAAGCACCGGCUAACUCCGUGCCAGCAGCCGCGGUAAUUC